This 462-nucleotide ribosomal RNA is filed under the name uncultured bacterium. Its description in RNAcentral is "partial 16S ribosomal RNA". It matches the Rfam family "Bacterial small subunit ribosomal RNA", at positions 28 to 507 of the family's 1533-position model. The record is from RNAcentral.
GACGAACGCUGGCGGCGUGCUUAACACAUGCAAGUCGAACGGAAAGGCCCUUCGGGGUACUCGAGUGGCGAACGGGUGAGUAACACGUGGGUGAUCUGCCCUGCACUUUGGGAUAAGCCUGGGAAACUGGGUCUAAUACCGAAUAGGACCACGCGCUUCAUGGUGUGUGGUGGAAAGCUUUUGCGGUGUGGGAUGGGCCCGCGGCCUAUCAGCUUGUUGGUGGGGUAAUGGCCUACCAAGGCGACGACGGGUAGCCGGCCUGAGAGGGUGACCGGCCACACUGGGACUGAGAUACGGCCCAGACUCCUACGGGAGGCAGCAGUGGGGAAUAUUGCACAAUGGGCGCAAGCCUGAUGCAGCGACGCCGCGUGAGGGAUGACGGCCUUCGGGUUGUAAACCUCUUUCAAUAGGGACGAAGCGCAAGUGACGGUACCUAUAGAAGAAGCACCGGCCAACUGCGUG